CAGCCGCCACGGGAAUACGAAGGGUGCAAGCGUUACUUGGAAUUACUGGGCGUAAAGCGUGCGUAGGUGGUGGUUUAAGUCCGUUGUGAAAGCCCUGGGCUCAACCUGGGAAUUGCAGUGGAUACUGGGUCACUAGAGUGUGGUAGAGGAUAGUGGAAUUUCCGGUGUAGCAGUGAAAUGCGUAGAGAUCGGAAGGAACAUCUGUGGCGAAGGCGACUAUCUGGGCCAACACUGACACUGAGGCACGAAAGCGUGGGGAGCAAACAGGAUUAGAUACCCGUGUAGUCCCUGUCUCUUAUAC
RNAcentral lists this ribosomal RNA (301 nucleotides) under uncultured bacterium. RNAcentral describes it as "partial 16S ribosomal RNA". It matches the Rfam family "Bacterial small subunit ribosomal RNA", at positions 509 to 807 of the family's 1533-position model. The record is from RNAcentral.